Podarcis muralis (Common wall lizard) is the source of this 1510-nucleotide non-coding RNA. NCBI's taxonomy places the organism in Eukaryota, Metazoa, Chordata, Lepidosauria, Squamata, Lacertidae. The record is from RefSeq and is a predicted model, not a curated record.
GAGUGUUUUAAGCCCUAAAUAACUUAGGUCUCACAUAGCUGAAAGACCUCCUCCUUCCCUGCAGAACCUCACAGGUGUUAAGGCCAGCAGAGAAGCAGCUCUUGGGAGUUUCACAGCCCUCACGAUUUGGGGGUGGGGGUGGCCCAGAAGAUGGUAUUCUCUGUGGAAUACCCUAAAUUGUGGAAUUCCCUCCUCACAGAUAUGUGUGUGGCUUUGGGCAAAAGAUGGGAGAUGAACCUUGGAGAUGUGGGUUUUCAGGGCCCACUCUAUUCCGUUGAUUGUUAACUGUUGUAACUGUUUAAAAUUUUGAAUUUUGAAUUGCAACCCACCCUGGGACCUGUUGGUAAAGGCUGUGUAAUUAAUGGCGAUGAGUAUAACAGCAGCAAUGUGAAAUAGUAGAAAUUGCUUUAGCAAUGUGCUUUUUUGGGUCACUAACGCUAGUAAUCAAGAGGAAAGGAGAGCAAAAUUUUCAAGUUCACAGCUCAUCCAGCUUCAAUCAAAAAUGGCAGUCAAAAUUGUAUUCCAUAAUUGAAGGACAUUUAGCUCUUUGCCCCUUCGGACUUCCCAGAGUAUGCCUUGCUUGGCUAGGGAGAAAAUCUGGAUUGUGUUCCAUCUGCAACUCAUUGUGCUAAGACACUUUCAGGUUGCAAUGACUAAGUUCUCAGAAGAGGCCAUAUUCUGUGUCACUACAAUGAGGCUCACCUGCAGGUAGGAGAAGACUUCUUCUUUUGUUCCAGCCCUUCUUUUCUUUGUUCCAGCUCUUUGCCCCUUCGGACUUCCCAGAGUAUCCCUUGCUUGGCUAGGGAGAAAAUCUCGAUUGUGUUUGGUCUGCCACUCAUUGUGCUAAGACUCUUUCAAGUUGUGGAGACUGAGAUGUCAGAAGAUGCCCUAUUCUGCGUCACCGAAAUGAGGCUCACCUGCAGGUAUGAGAAGACUUCUUUUGUUCCAGCUCUCCUUUUCUUCAAGUUUCCAAGAGUUCAGUGUACAGUGAAGGGAGAUUCACCUGCAUUUGGACUGUGCUGCUUUAGGUAAGUUCACAUCCCACCACUCAGUGGUCUUUUCUCCCCAAGAACAUGUUUUUUGUAUUGGUCUCUCCUGUUCCCCGUUUUCUUUUCUGGUGGUCUCUCCACAGGUCUCUCCAAAGAGCUCCCAACCCUCAAAUGAAGCCAGCUCUUCCUGGAGGGUCGCAGAAGUCAUGGUGGUAAGAAAAGGCUCACCUGCAGGUAGGACAACACUUCUUUUGUUCUAGCUCUUCUUUCCUUUUGUUCCAGCUCUUCUUCCGAUCAGGCUUUCCAGAGUAUGCCUUGCUUGGCUAGGGAGAAAAUCUCCAUUGUGUUUUCCCAUUUUCUUUUCUGCUCUCUCCACAGGUCUCUCCACAGAGCUCUACUUAACAUCUUAAGGUUUUCUUUUUCCCUGAGAGAACAUUCCCAGAAUGUUCUCUCAGGUUUUGCUUUUCCCCUUGUUGCAUUGCUCAAAAAAAAGCAAAAGACACUGGUGGUUGGUACUCCUG